CCAAAAGCAGCUGAAUGCACAACUCAAACUGUCAUCCAAGCACACAAAGAAGGCAUUGAUAGUUUUGCUGUUUUUGCCCAGGCUGCAGUGCAAUGGCGCGAUCUUGGCUCACUACAACCUCAGCUUCCCAGGUUCAAGUGAUUCUCCUGCCUCAGCAUCCUGAGUAGCUGGGAUUACAGGCACAUGCCAGCACACCUGGAUAAUUUUGCAUUUUUAGUGAAGACAGGGUUUCAGCAUGUUGGACAGUCUGGUCUCGAAAGUCUGACCCCAGGUGAUCCACUCACUUCAGCCUCCCAAAGUGCUGGGAUUACAGGCAUGAGCCACUGCACCCAACCUCAACUAAUGUAUUUCUAAAAAAGUAUGCAUGAUUAAAAUUAGGCAUCAAAAUCUUUUAAAUGUCUACAUUUUAAAAU
Molecule: long non-coding RNA, 413 nt
Filed under: Homo sapiens (human)
Lineage: Eukaryota; Metazoa; Chordata; Mammalia; Primates; Hominidae
Description: HSALNT0107261
Source: RNAcentral